UACGCAGGGGGCUAGCGUUGCUCGGAAUUACUGGGCGUAAAGCGCACGUCGGCGGCUUUCUAAGUCGGGGGUGAAAUCCUGGAGCUCAACUCCAGAACUGCCUUCGAUACUGGAAAGCUCGAGUCCGGGAGAGGUGAGUGGAACUGCGAGUGUAGAGGUGAAAUUCGUAGAUAUUCGCAAGAACACCAGUGGCGAAGGCGGCUCACUGGCCCGGUACUGACGCUGAGGUGCGAAAGCGUGGGGAGCAAACAGG
This 253-nucleotide ribosomal RNA is filed under the name uncultured bacterium. RNAcentral's name for it is "partial 16S ribosomal RNA". It matches the Rfam family "Bacterial small subunit ribosomal RNA", at positions 524 to 776 of the family's 1533-position model. The record is from RNAcentral.